Molecule: ribosomal RNA, 254 nt
Filed under: uncultured bacterium
Lineage: Bacteria
Description: partial 16S ribosomal RNA
Rfam family: Bacterial small subunit ribosomal RNA
Source: RNAcentral
UACGUAGGGGGCGAGCGUUGUCCGGAUUUAUUGGGCGUAAAGAGCUCGUAGGCGGUUUGGAAAGUCGGGUGUGAAAACUCCGGGCUCAACUCGGAGACGCCACUCGAUACUGCCAUGACUAGAGUCCGGAAGGGGCGAGUGGAAUUCCUGGUGUAGCGGUGAAAUGCGCAGAUAUCAGGAGGAACACCAAUGGCGAAGGCAGCUCGCUGGAACGGUACUGACGCUGAGGCGCGAAAGCGUGGGGAGCAAACAGG